CUAUUGGCGGAAGCCUUGACGCAGCGACGCCGCUGGAAGGAAUGAAGUCUCGGAUCGUAACUCUGUUAGAGGGAAGAAACGUGCAGAUACACUCUGCAUAAUGACGGUACUCCAGAGAAAGCACUGCUACUCGUGCAGCAGCGCGGUAAUACGAAGGGUGCAAGCGUAUCGGAAUUACUGGGCGUAAAGCGUGCGCAGGCGGUUUGUAAGUCUGACGUGAAAUCCCCGGGCUCAACCUGGGAAUUGCGUUGGAGACUGCAAGGCUAGAAUCUGGCAGAGGGGGGUAGAAUUCCACGUGUAGCAGUGAAAUGCGUAGAGAUGUGGAGGAACACCGAUGGCGAAGGCAGCCCCCUGGGUCAAGAUUGACGCUCAUGCACGAAAGCGUGGGGAGCAAACAGGAUUAGAUACCCUGGUAGUCCACGCCCUAAACGAUGUCUACUAGUUGUCGGGUUUUAAUUAACUUGGUAACGCAGCUAACGCGUGAAGUAGACCGCCUGGGGAGUACGGUCGCAAGAUUAAAACUCAAAGGAAUUGACGGGGACCCGCACAAGCGGUGGAUGAUGUGGAUUAAUUCGAUGCAACGCGAAAAACCUUACCUACCCUUGACAUGUACGGAAGACCGAAGAGAUUUGGUUGUGCUCGAAAGAGAACCGUAACACAGGUGCUGCAUGGCUGUCGUCAGCUCGUGUCGUGAGAUGUUGGGUUAAGUCCCGCAACGAGCGCAACCCUUGUCAUUAGUUGCUACAUUCAGUUGAGCACUCUAAUGAGACUGCCGGUGACAAACCGGAGGAAGGUGGGGAUGACGUCAAGUCCUCAUGGCCCUUAUGGGUAGGGCUUCACACGUCAUACAAUGGUACAUACAGAGGGCCGCCAACCCGCGAGGGGGAGCUAAUCCCAGAAAGUGUAUCGUAGUCCGGAUCGCAGUCUGCAACUCGACUGCGUGAAGUUGGAAUCGCUAGUAAUCGCGGAUCAGCAUGUCGCGGUGAAUACGUUCCCGGGUCUUGUACACACCGCCCGUCACACCAUGGGAGCGGGUUUUACCAGAAGUAGGUAGCUUAACC
Molecule: ribosomal RNA, 1061 nt
Filed under: uncultured beta proteobacterium
Lineage: Bacteria; Pseudomonadati; Pseudomonadota; Betaproteobacteria
Description: bacterial SSU rRNA
Rfam family: Bacterial small subunit ribosomal RNA
Source: RNAcentral